CUAACCGUAAACGAUGACAACCAGCGAUUAAUNGGCGUUAAUAUAUGACCCGAUUAGCAGCUUCCGGGAAACCAAAGUUUUUCGUUUCCGGGGGAAGUAUGGUUGCAAAGCUGAAACUUAAAGGAAUUGACGGAAGGGCACCACCAGGAGUGGAGCCUGCGGCUUAAUUUGACUCAACACGGGAAAACUCACCCGGCCCGGACACCGUAAGGAUUGACAGACUGAGAGCUCUUUCUUAAUUCGGUGGGUGGUGGUGCAUGGCCGUUCUUAGUUGGUGGAGCGAUUUGUCUGGUUAAUUCCGAUAACGAACGAGACUCUGGCCUAUUAAAUAGACGAUAUAUUUAAAAGUAUAUCGCGCUUCUUAGAGGGACAAGCGGCGUCUAGCCGCAUGAAAUAGAGCAAUAACAGGUCUGUGAUGCCCUUAGAUGUCCGGGGCUGCACGCGCGCUACACUGAAAGAAUCAGUGUGCGUUACGCCUAGUUCGGAAGAACCGGGUAACCCAAGUAAAUUCUUUCGUGCUUGGGAUAGGGAAUUGCAAUUAUUUCCCUUAAACGAGGAAUUCCCAGUAAAUGCGGGUCAUAAGCUCGCGUUG
RNAcentral lists this ribosomal RNA (592 nucleotides) under Aporcelaimellus sp. 2010_032. RNAcentral's name for it is "SSU rRNA". It matches the Rfam family "Eukaryotic small subunit ribosomal RNA", at positions 1026 to 1643 of the family's 1831-position model. The record is from RNAcentral. Lineage: Eukaryota; Metazoa; Nematoda; Enoplea; Dorylaimida; Aporcelaimidae.